UCCGUAGGUGAACCUGCGGAAUGUCAUUAUCGGUUUUCUGAGGCUCAGCCCUCGGCUAAACUACCUCUCGGGAACUCGUUCCUGGGGUCGCUGGCCUGUCUGCCGGCGACCGAACGCUGUGUGCGGAGCUGAGGUCGGGUCCUCGUGGACCUCCUCGACUUGCUCUGCCGGCGGCCCGGUUCUUGGGUGCGGCGUGCCGUUAGCUUAGCGCUCGAUGGCUUUAAAACCGCUCAAAGCUCUUCGCCCUCGACCGGGUUCAUUUUGUUGAUCUCCCCCUCGUGAGGAGCUGUCAACUCUUACUGUCUUUUGUGAAAAAGGCCAAGUUUUGGUCAACCUUUUGUUAAAAACAAUACUGUACGGUGGAUCACUUGGCUCGGGGGUCGAUGAAGAACGCAGCAAACUGCGUGUCGGAAUGUGAACUGCAGGACAUAUGAGCAUCGACACUUUGAACGCAUAUUGCGGAUCGUAGCUCGUCUACUAUCCAUGUCUGGCUCAGGGUCGGUUUAACAUCCAUCCAGCAACUUGCUGGCAUUGAGCUCUUCCCUUGAGUCUACCUCGAGGGUGGCUUUAAGAUUUUGGGCUUGAGACCUCGUCUCUGCUGCUGACUCUCGGGUGGAUCGUUUUCUCAGAUUACCCGGGUUGGCUGACUUGAGGACUCUUGCUCUCGGGAGCGGCUGUCUAAGUCGCUCCUGGCCCCUUUAUCUCACGACCUGAGAGCAGAACAGAUUACCCGCCAAAUUUAAGCAUAUCAAUA
RNAcentral lists this ribosomal RNA (754 nucleotides) under uncultured eukaryote. Its description in RNAcentral is "eukaryotic LSU rRNA". The stretch from base 349 to 501 matches the Rfam family "5.8S ribosomal RNA". The record is from RNAcentral.